UGUUGUAUGGAAACUAAUUUGACAAUAAAUUUCAUAUAAUAAAAAAAUAAAUAAAAGUAAAAAAAUUUUUUUUAAUAAAUUCUCAGUUUAUAAUAAUUUUUAUCAAUGUAACAUCAUUUUUGUCAUUAUAUGAGCUAACCUAAUAAAACUCAUCUAAGAGACUGUAAUCACUUGACUUUGAGAAUCUUCAAGGAUUUGACUGGAAGCUGUCUUCCACAAAGAAUUCUUCCUAAACGAGACCAUGCCCAAUUCAACUUUAGAAGAUGCCUAUUAAGUAAUGGGGAAUUCUACGUACUAAGGUUCAGAGCAAAAGAAUGAAACAAUGCAAACAAGACCAAAGAACUCUUUGUCCCAGAGGCUUGUAAAACAAGCUGAAAUCCAGUAGGCUGGAAGCCAUCUCCCCACCUCCCAUCUCUUCCCACAUCAGAUUCCAACAAGAGAAAUUCUCCCUCUGGGAAUUUGUUGCCACCACCAUCUUGCAGCACAGAAAACUCUGGCUCCCUAGUUCUCACGGAGGUGAGGCCGAAGUAGAAUCAUCUGCUAUCAAGAGCUGUAAUCAAAAUGGGAGUUCUGCCAUGGCAGCUUUACAUAUGAGGGAGAAAUUCGUAAGUCAGCCACUGAAUUUCAGAGGCUGCUUGUACUCUGAUUCAGCAACAUUCUUGUGAUGGGAAACUGCCGCACAGAGAAUUAAGGUGCUCACUGUGAAAUAACAGAAACCUCAUCAUGUCCAGUGGGUACAAUGGGUCAUCUGUAGUGCACGCACAUAGCAGGACACAUACAGCAGGAGCUCAACGGCCAAAAGGUGUGGGGAGGGAAGGCGGGAGAAGAAAAAAUUCAAACCCACAUGAUCUGCUGGGGUCUGCAAGAGCACAGUAAAAAAGCACCUCUCCUUACCCUAGUCCUCUCAAAGUACCCUAUCUGAUGAGAUCUUCCCCUUCUUUUAAGAGUCAAACAAAGUGCUGCCAUCUUUGAGAGGCUUUCCUUGAAAACCCUAAACAGGGUUGGCAGUUUCCAUCUGUGUUCCAUUAGCACCCUGUAUUAAUUAUUAGAGCGCUUAUUAAAUCGCUACAGUUUAUUUACAUUUGUUUCCCCAGUAGAUACCUCCUCAAGUAAUGGAAUAUUUUAUUCAUCUUUGUAUUACCAGUACUUCGGACGGUGCCUGGCACAUGCAAGAGUCCAAUAAGUAUUGGUUAACGAAUGACUGUAUGGAUUUCUUCAAAUAUUGAAAGAAACAGAAAAAGUAAAAAUCAAAUGAACGGCUCCCAAAUGAAUUAAUUUGCCGGUCUUGCUACUAGGAAAAUGGGAUUUAAGCAUGAAACCUCCAAGUGGCCUUACCAGUAGAUCUGAAGGCACUGAAUAUCUAAGGUAGACCAAUUCAACAGUGUCCCUUUCCAUCACAUUUCUAAAAAGUUAUAAGGAAUACUCUUUCCUGGGCAUGCAAAAUCCUCAGUAAUGGGUAUGUAUGUUGUAUUUGGCAUUUCUGACGUCUAAAGAAAUAUUUAAGUCAGACUGAACAUAUAUGCAGGGUUCAGCAAUAUUCAGAAGAAAAACUAUCCGAUUCCUUCAGGGGAAAUAAAGGGUUCCACCAUGUUCUGAUCAUAAUUAAGGAAAUAAAACUGAAUUAAAGCCCCAAUGCAGACGAAAUCAGAAGGGUCCUUUGGGCUAGCCACCAAAUGAAUGGUUCACUGGAGUGGGAACAAGCACAGUCCCUAAAUCCCAACAUCUUAAGAGAUAAAGAUAAUGGAAUGCUACAGCAAUAUAAGACAGGUAAAAUAGCUGAUAUGUCUUUGGAAGUUAACCUAACUUCUUUCAGGCAGUUGGUGAGAACCUACAUUAAAGCAUGAGACUAAGAAACAAAGAAGUGUAUCACUGCCUAAAGUAAAAUUUGUUUUAGUGGCUGUUUACCUAAUCUUGCAAAAGUAUUACACUUUAUAUUCACAAUUUAUUUCCUCAAAUCAUAACACUAGAAAAGACCUUAAAAAUUAUCAACUCAAGCCCUCUAAUCUUACAAAUAAGGAAAUCGAGGUUUACAAAGGGCAAGUGACUUGCCCAAGGUCAUACUGGUAAUCAGAUGCGGAGUCUGAACUCAAACUCAGUAUUUGUCUCCCCAAC
Molecule: long non-coding RNA, 2112 nt
Organism: Felis catus (domestic cat)
Lineage: Eukaryota; Metazoa; Chordata; Mammalia; Carnivora; Felidae
Exons: 3
Source: RefSeq, a predicted model, not a curated record